GGAGAGAGGCUGUGGCUCAGUGGUAGAGCAUCUGCUUACUAUGCAGAUGGUCCCAGGUUCAAUGCCCGGCAUCUCCA
This is a non-coding RNA of Euleptes europaea (tarantolino), 77 nucleotides long. Lineage: Eukaryota; Metazoa; Chordata; Lepidosauria; Squamata; Sphaerodactylidae. The record is from the annotation of a RefSeq genome assembly.